Molecule: transfer RNA, 116 nt
Filed under: Acinetobacter baumannii
Lineage: Bacteria; Pseudomonadati; Pseudomonadota; Gammaproteobacteria; Moraxellales; Moraxellaceae
Description: tRNA-Leu
Rfam family: tRNA
About the family: Transfer RNA (tRNA) molecules are approximately 80 nucleotides in length. Their secondary structure includes four short double-helical elements and three loops (D, anti-codon, and T loops).
Source: RNAcentral
GGGGGCGUGGCGAAAUUGGUAGACGCAUUUAGGUUCCNUGGCGAAAUUGGUAGACGCACUGGAUUUAGGUUCCAGCGCCGCAAGGUGUAAGAGUUCGAGUCUCUUCGCCCCCACCA